This 429-nucleotide ribosomal RNA is filed under the name uncultured prokaryote. RNAcentral's name for it is "bacterial SSU rRNA". It matches the Rfam family "Bacterial small subunit ribosomal RNA", at positions 355 to 774 of the family's 1533-position model. The record is from RNAcentral.
UCGAGAAUCUUCCCCAAUGGACGAAAGUCUGAGGGAGCGACGCCGCAUGAGGGAUGAAGGCCCUUUGGGUUGUAAACCUCUGUUAGGGGGAAAGAACAGCAGUGGAAGCAACAUGUCCAUUGCCUGACGUUACCCCCAGAGAAAGCUCCGGCCAACUCCGUGCCAGCAGCCGCGGUACUCCGGGGGGAGCAAGCGUUGUCCGGAAUCAUUGGGCGUAAAGGGCGUGUAGGCGGUUAGGCAAGUCGAAUGUGAAAUCCCACGGCUCAACCGUGGAACUGCGUUCGAAACUGCCCUACGUGAGUGCGGGAGAGGUGUGCGGAAUUCCUGGUGUAGCGGUGGAAUGCGUAGAUAUCAGGAAGAACACCGGUGGCGAAGGCGGCACACUGGCCCAGCACUGACGCUGAGGCACGAAAGCGUGGGGAGCGAACG